CUUUACUAAUGAUAUCAUGCAG
Molecule: non-coding RNA, 22 nt
Filed under: Arabidopsis thaliana (thale cress)
Lineage: Eukaryota; Viridiplantae; Streptophyta; Magnoliopsida; Brassicales; Brassicaceae
Source: RNAcentral